RNAcentral lists this ribosomal RNA (425 nucleotides) under uncultured bacterium. RNAcentral's name for it is "partial 16S ribosomal RNA". It matches the Rfam family "Bacterial small subunit ribosomal RNA", at positions 354 to 796 of the family's 1533-position model. The record is from RNAcentral.
GUGGGGAAUCUUGCGCAAUGGGCGAAAGCCUGACGCAGCCAUGCCGCGUGGAUGAUGAAGGUCUUAGGAUUGUAAAAUCCUUUCACCGGUGAAGAUAAUGACUGUAGCCGGAGAAGAAGCCCCGGCUAACUUCGUGCCAGCAGCCGCGGUAAUACGAAGGGGGCUAGCGUUGCUCGGAUUUACUGGGCGUAAAGGGCGCGUAGGCGGACAUUUAAGUCAGGGGUGAAAUCCCGGGGCUCAACCUCGGAACUGCCUUUGAUACUGGGUGUCUUGAGUAUGGGAGAGGUGUGUGGAACUCCGAGUGUAGAGGUGAAAUUCGUAGAUAUUCGGAAGAACACCAGUGGCGAAGGCGACACACUGGCUCAUUACUGACGCUGAGGCACGAAAGCGUGGGGAGCAAACAGGAUUAGAAACCCUAGUAGUCC